This is a long non-coding RNA of Hylaeus anthracinus, 444 nucleotides long. RefSeq lists it as uncharacterized. The transcript is spliced from 2 exons. The record is from RefSeq and is a predicted model, not a curated record. NCBI's taxonomy places the organism in Eukaryota, Metazoa, Arthropoda, Insecta, Hymenoptera, Colletidae.
AUCUCAAGAUAUCUUGAAAUUUAAAAUGAGAUUAAUACGUUAUAUUUAGUUUACGUCAUCAUGCAUCAAACAGAAACGUGUAAAAACGAUAUAUUCUUAAAUUGAAAAAAUUCUUAAAGAGUCAUAAAUUAUUUCCAUCAAAUUAAAAAGAAUCGAAUGCCUCGUUUGAAGUAAGAUAUCAUUAUGGCGUGAAUACAUCGCUAUGAUGAGGGACGUUCGUACAUUUUUAAAAAAGUCGGUGAAUGUAAAGCAAUCGACUUACUUUGGAAAAGUGAAUUUCGUCUUGUCACUAAUCGCUUCUAUAAAGAUGAUACCAUCGAGAACAGCUUGCCUAACUUUUGUACCUAAUUCUUUAUUAGGGAAAUCAAGGCAGAGGUCGAUGUCUUCUUUAAAAAUUCUACCAACAAAAGGAUCGCCUUUGUCUACGCAUGGACUGACUUUCCA